Malaclemys terrapin pileata is the source of this 1467-nucleotide long non-coding RNA. RefSeq lists it as uncharacterized. The record is from RefSeq and is a predicted model, not a curated record. Lineage: Eukaryota; Metazoa; Chordata; Testudines; Emydidae. The transcript has 5 exons.
CUUGCGCAAGGCCCCAGAGAGCGGCAUCAGAUUAACCUGGCUCCCAGCCCUGCACCUACGUCACUGGAACCUACAUUCCCUUUCCUCCAAUCCUGUGCCCUUUAAGGGAAAGCCCAGUAGCUGGCACAAGUCACGGGAGCACAGAGAAUUCAGGGUGACUUGGCCAUUGUUCAAGCUAAGUCACGCACAGUCAUGGCUGACUGAAAGAGAUCACAACACAUUCGAAUGUUGCUGACAGCUGCAAUAACACGGGGAAUGAACUCAUUUUCCAAAGACAUGGGAUUUUUCAUAGACAAGGCCCUCAAACCUCAACAUUUCACAAUCCCAGAGCCUCGUAUCUACAGUGACUCUCCAUCUUCCUCAGUUCAAGCACCUCAGUUUGCGUCAGUCGUUGGAUCCCUUCUCUUCAGCAAAGCUAGAACUCAACCUGCUAUCAGCCACAGGGCCGGCUCCAGCAUUUCUGCCGCCCCAAGCAAAAAAAAAGCCGCGAUCGGCGACGGCAGUUCAGCGGCAGAUCCCUCACUCCUAGAGGGAGUGAGGGACCUGCCGCCCCCGAAUUGCCGCAGGUGCCGCCCCCUCCCUUGGCCGCCCCAAGCACCUGCUUGUUAACCUGGUGCCUGGAGCCGGCCCUGAUCAGCCAUGAGGCUCCUUUUCCUGCUCUUUGCUGUUCUCUUCCAGGCUGCUCCAGGCAAGGUGCAAAACAAAGGAUCAGGAGACUAAAAAAGCAUCUUGUGUAUGUCAACAAGGAAGAUAAAAUAAUUAUCCAUUGAGGGACCAAAUCGUGAUCCUCAAACUGUGUUCAGGACCAGCAUAGUUUACGAAAGAGUAAACAAGAGAUCACCUACCUGAGAGCAACUCUUCCUGUCCACGCUGAAUCUCUGGGAGAUGUCCCUUCACUUCUAAAGCCAUUGGCUCCUGCUUCAAUGGAAGCCUAAAAUGCUUUUCACUUGGGCUGGGAAGAAUCUUAUGAGCUGGAGAAAAUCCAAAAGGGAAAGCAUCAGUUGUGAUAACAAGUGGUGCGGACAUCCUGACCAACCUUCAGCCAUGAGGAUCCUUUACCUUCUCUUGGCUGUUGUCUUCUUGGUGCUCCAGAGUGCUCCAGGAUUCACCCAGGCUCAGAACAUCAUUCAGUGUAUACGUCUCGGGGGUUCCUGCCGGAGUGGGUCAUGUCCCAGCGGUUUUGCUCGUAUUGGCACCUGCAGCGGAUCAGACAGCUGCUGUCUACAGUGGUGAUGGCUCUGCUGAUUGUCUAAGCAGGACCUCUGGGAAUUUGGGAGACAUCCCCUCAUUUCUAAAAUCACUGAAUCCUGCUGCAAUGGAAGCACCAUUCAUUGGGGUCGUAAAGAACCGCAUGAGCUGGAGAAUUUCCAGAAGAGAGCCCUGGUAUCACCCGUAAAGAGAUUCCCUCUUAAUUCAAUCAAGUUGCUUUGAAAACUCAAUGCUGAAAUGUGUGUUUGUGUCACAGUG